CAUUUAAUUGGUGUUCAAACCAAUUGAUCCAGGACAAUAUUUCCUAAAAUUUAAUAAAACCAGAUGAAUGAAUAGGUUUGAGCUUUGAACUGGCAGCCUGUAUAGUUCAAACCAGUCAGACCAUCGAGCUAGGCAUCUAGUAGGGUUUCUUUAUAUUGCAUAAGUUUUUACCUAGGGCCCAAUCUAGUAGCACUAAUUCUUAUUCUGAAUGGAUGGAUGAAUCGGUCAAUGGUGAAUGUCUGGUCCCUCGACCAAAUCCAAGUGGAGUACCAACCCCAAGAUUUGGAAAGUUUCAGGAUACAAUUAGGAGUCUUUGUUUUUUCCUAUAUAUACAUGAACCAAAUGAGAAAACAUAUUUGGAAUGAAUUGAACAACCUGCUGGUUGCUGGUCGUGAGUAUUGGUAUCUUCUCUUUCUUCCCUGUUCGAUUCAAGUUCGACUUUCUUCUUCUCAGAUGUGCCAUAGGACUCUGCUGUUACAAAUUCCCUGAAGGUCAAAUGGGGUUCUCCAGCAAAGCCAGUUAUAUGCUCAAUUGUUAAUAUUAUCCAAACAAGAAACUCUGUGUUUUGAAGGAAACAUGGUGGUACAAUGUGGGAUCCUUUCAACCGUAACUUGGAUGUCUAUCAACAAUUUUAUGAUUUAAUUUACAAAGUCGGUGUAAGGUGCCACGAAAUAUUGUUGUGUGGUCCGAACUUGCUGGAACUGGGUCUCCUCAUGCUGCCUAUCCACUUGCAGGUUUUCAUGGGUCACUUCUUUGAUUUUCCUUUUUCCCAUUCAUAGCACUGACUUAAGUAAAUUUCUUUGGCAGAA
Molecule: long non-coding RNA, 809 nt
Organism: Macadamia integrifolia
Lineage: Eukaryota; Viridiplantae; Streptophyta; Magnoliopsida; Proteales; Proteaceae
Exons: 5
Source: RefSeq, a predicted model, not a curated record